GAUGAACGCUGGCGGCGUGCCUAAUACAUGCAAGUCGAGCGAACGGACGAGAAGCUUGUUUCUCUGAUGUUAGCGGCGGACGGGUGAGUAACACGUGGAUAACCUACCUAUAAGACUGGGAUAACUUCGGGAAACCGGAGCUAAGACCGUAUAAUAUUUUGAACCGCAUGGUUCAAAAGUGAAAGACGGUCUUGCUGUCACUUAUAGAUGGAUCCGCGCUGCUUUAGCUAGUUGGUAAGGUAACGGCUUACCAAGGCAACGAUGCAUAGCCGACCUGAGAGGGUGAUCGGCCACACUGGAACUGAGACACGGUCCAGACUCCUACGGGAGGCAGCAGUAGGGAAUCUUCCGCAAUGGGCGAAAGCCUGACGGAGCAACGCCGCGUGAGUGAUGAAGGUCUUCGGAUCGUAAAACUCUGUUAUUAGGGAAGAACAUAUGUGUAAGUAACUGUGCACAUCUUGACGGUACCUAAUCAGAAAGCCACGGCUAACUACGUG
RNAcentral lists this ribosomal RNA (497 nucleotides) under uncultured bacterium. Its description in RNAcentral is "partial 16S ribosomal RNA". It matches the Rfam family "Bacterial small subunit ribosomal RNA", at positions 28 to 507 of the family's 1533-position model. The record is from RNAcentral.